This 732-nucleotide ribosomal RNA is filed under the name uncultured Leptotrichia sp. RNAcentral's name for it is "bacterial SSU rRNA". It matches the Rfam family "Bacterial small subunit ribosomal RNA", at positions 28 to 776 of the family's 1533-position model. Lineage: Bacteria; Fusobacteriati; Fusobacteriota; Fusobacteriia; Fusobacteriales; Leptotrichiaceae. The record is from RNAcentral.
GAUGAACGCUGACAGAAUGCUUAACACAUGCAAGUCUUUGGCGAAGCUGUGCUUGCACAGCCUAGCCAAGGCGGACGGGUGAGUAACGCGUAAGGAACUUGCCCUGCAGUCAGGGAUAACAGACGGAAACGACUGAUAAGACCUGGUAAAGUCAGGCGGACUCAUGUCCAGCCUGAUGAAAAGAGAUGCUGCAGGAGAGCCUUGCGUCCUAUUAGCUUGUUGGUGGGGUAACGGCCCACCAAGGCAAUGAUAGGUAGCCGGCCUGAGAGGGUGGACGGCCACAAGGGGACUGAGAUACGGCCCUUACUCCUACGGGAGGCAGCAGUGGGGAAUAUUGGACAAUGGGGGCAACCCUGAUCCAGCAAUUCUGUGUGCACGAUGAAGGUUUUCGGAUUGUAAAGUGCUUUCAGCAGGGAAGAAAAAAAUGACGGUACCUGCAGAAGAAGCGACGGCUAAAUACGUGCCAGCAGCCGCGGUAAUACGUAUGUCGCAAGCGUUAUCCGGAAUUAUUGGGCAUAAAGGGCAUCUAGGCGGCCAGAUAAGUCUGGGGUGAAAACUUGCGGCUCAACCGCAAGCCUGCCCUGGAAACUAUGUGGCUAGAGUACUGGAGAGGUGGACGGAACUGCACGAGUAGAGGUGAAAUUCGUGGAUAUGUGCAGGAAUGCCGAUGAUGAAGAUAGUUCACUGGACGGUAACUGACGCUGAAGUGCGAAAGCUAGGGGAGCAAACAGG